GUGGGGAAUCUUAGACAAUGGGGGCAACCCUGAUCUAGCCAUGCCGCGUGAGUGAUGAAGGCCUUAGGGUCGUAAAGCUCUUUCGCCGGGGAAGAUAAUGACUGUACCCGGUAAAGAAACCCCGGCUAACUCCGUGCCAGCAGCCGCGGUAAUACGGAGGGGGUUAGCGUUGUUCGGAAUUACUGGGCGUAAAGCGCGCGUAGGCGGAUCGGAAAGUUGGGGGUGAAAUCCCGGGGCUCAACCCCGGAAUUGCCUUCAAAACUCCCGGUCUUGAGGUCGAGAGAGGUGAGUGGAAUUCCGAGUGUAGAGGUGAAAUUCGUAGAUAUUCGGAGGAACACCAGUGGCGAAGGCGGCUCACUGGCUCGAUACUGACGCUGAGGUGCGAAAGCGUGGGGAGCAAACAGGAUUAGAUACCCCAGUAGUCC
RNAcentral lists this ribosomal RNA (425 nucleotides) under uncultured bacterium. RNAcentral describes it as "bacterial SSU rRNA". It matches the Rfam family "Bacterial small subunit ribosomal RNA", at positions 354 to 796 of the family's 1533-position model. The record is from RNAcentral.